Hippocampus zosterae (dwarf seahorse) is the source of this 631-nucleotide long non-coding RNA. RefSeq lists it as uncharacterized. Lineage: Eukaryota; Metazoa; Chordata; Actinopteri; Syngnathiformes; Syngnathidae. The record is from RefSeq and is a predicted model, not a curated record. The transcript is spliced from 2 exons.
GAAGAAGAGAAUUGGCAGGUGAUGCUCACCUACUCCCAUCCAGAUGGCCUUUCCAUGCACGACCAACAAAUCAGCCGUCAGACCAGAAAAGUCUCCUUUUAUUAAAAAAGCAGCGCGGUGUGUGACCCCGAUGCCGUAGCAGAAGCAGCACCAACAGAACCAGAACCUUUGGGGCCUCCUGUUGUGAAAUCAGGAAGGAGCAAGUGUGACACCUACCUGCGGAAGUUGGAAGAGUUUCCACGACACGCAUGACAAACAAGCACCCACCCACCGACUUUUCCUCCCACUCGCAAGCGCGCGCGCGUGUGUGUGUGUGCGUGUGUGUGUGUGUGGUGCGUGUGUCCAAACAGCCAUUAAAAAUAGCGAGUGUGUCCCUUCGCCUUGAAUUAAUGGGGCCACUAUGCUGUGAAUGCACAUGUCUCUCUUUCUCUCUCUCUCUCUCUCUCCCUCUCUCUCUCUCUUUAAGCAGGCACCCUUUGCAAAUGUAAUGAGGUCUAAAUUCAGCAUAAAAUCGAGCUCAUUACUUCGAUCCGCCACCUGAUUGUACCGCAUAAAACAAGCCAGGUAAUUGGCUUUAAAACGCCUUAUUAUUAUGGGAAACUUUUAAUAAGAAUGGAUUAGAUACUUCUGG